RNAcentral lists this ribosomal RNA (305 nucleotides) under uncultured bacterium. RNAcentral's name for it is "bacterial SSU rRNA". It matches the Rfam family "Bacterial small subunit ribosomal RNA", at positions 334 to 656 of the family's 1533-position model. The record is from RNAcentral.
UAGCCUACGGGACGCAGCAGUGGGGGAUAUUGCACAAUGGGGGAAACCCUGAUGCAGCGACGCCGCGUGAGGGAAGACGGUUUUCGGAUUGUAAACCUCUGUCUUUGGGGACGAAUUGAGACGGUACCCAAGGAGGAAGCUCCGGCUAACUACGUGCCAGCAGCCGCGGUAAUACGUAGGGAGCAAGCGUUGUCCGGAAUUACUGGGUGUAAAGGGAGCGCAGGCGGCACGGCAAGCCUGAUGUGAAAGCCCGCGGCCCAACCGCGGGACUGCAUUGGGAACUACCGGGCUGGAGUGCCGGAGAG